Molecule: long non-coding RNA, 342 nt
Filed under: Phoenix dactylifera (date palm)
Lineage: Eukaryota; Viridiplantae; Streptophyta; Magnoliopsida; Arecales; Arecaceae
Description: long non-coding RNA (PDAC_LNC019713)
Source: RNAcentral
UUAUAUCACUUUCAUUCUAAUCCAUUUCUGAUUUGGGUAUGAUAGUGCCCUCUAUAUUAAGUGUGGGUGUGUGAGGCCUUCUAGUAAUGAUGUACCAUAAUUCAUAAUCUAAAGCUUGAAUGAAUAUCCUCAUUCUAGCUUUCCAAUAUGUGUAGUUUGUGCCAUUAAAUAGAGGUGGUCUAUUUGCGGAUUGCCCCUCACUCAUAAUACAUCCCACUUGGGUUGUCAUGAUCUUUAACUCUUGAUUGUGAGAUCAAUGAGUACUAUUGGAGCACCUUGCUCUGAUACCACUUGUUGCCCAAGGUGACAAGCCAAGAGGGGGGGGGGUGAAUUGGUUUCUUU